UAAUGUAUGGGGAUCUGCCCGAUUAGAGGGGGAUAACUACUGGAAACGGUGGCUAAUACCGCAUAAUGUCUACGGACCAAAGCAGGGGCUCUUCGGACCUUGCACUAUCGGAUGAACCCAUAUGGGAUUAGCUAGUAGGUGGGGUAAAGGCUCACCUAGGCGACGAUCUCUAGCUGGUCUGAGAGGAUGAUCAGCCACACUGGGACUGAGACACGGCCCAG
Molecule: ribosomal RNA, 221 nt
Filed under: uncultured bacterium
Lineage: Bacteria
Description: partial 16S ribosomal RNA
Rfam family: Bacterial small subunit ribosomal RNA
Source: RNAcentral